AGUGGGGAAUCUUGGACAAUGGGGGAAACCCUGAUCCAGCCAUGCCGCGUGAUCGAUGAAGGCCUUAGGGUUGUAAAGAUCUUUCAGCUGGGAAGAUAAUGACGGUACCAGCAGAAGAAGCCCCGGCUAACUCCGUGCCAGCAGCCGCGGUAAUACGGAGGGGGCUAGCGUUGUUCGGAAUUACUGGGCGUAAAGCGCACGUAGGCGGAUCAGUCAGUCAGGGGUGAAAUCCCGGGGCUCAACCCCGGAACUGCCUUUGAUACUGCUGAUCUGGAGGAUGAGAGAGGCGAGUGGAAUUCCGAGUGUAGAGGUGAAAUUCGUAGAUAUUCGGAGGAACACCAGUGGCGAAGGCGGCUCGCUGGCUCAUUACUGACGCUGAGGUGCGAAAGCGUGGGGAGCAAA
RNAcentral lists this ribosomal RNA (402 nucleotides) under uncultured Paracoccaceae bacterium. RNAcentral's name for it is "bacterial SSU rRNA". It matches the Rfam family "Bacterial small subunit ribosomal RNA", at positions 353 to 772 of the family's 1533-position model. The record is from RNAcentral. Lineage: Bacteria; Pseudomonadati; Pseudomonadota; Alphaproteobacteria; Rhodobacterales; Paracoccaceae.